CUUUAAUAUAAUGUAAGUAAAUGGCAAUUUCUGCUUGGGGUGUUUAAAGUGCCAAAAUGUGAAAAAGACGGCAGCAGUUUCUCUUUCCAGAAAUUGUGACCUGUUUAUUCAAAAAAUAAAAAAUUUAAAAAUCCACAAACCUUACAGUGAGCCAUUUCAUGCAGGAACUCUUUAGUUCGUACCGAUCCGCAAUUUUGAAAAAUGUCCAUGUGCAGAAGAAAGCAACCAUGUGCGUGUGAUGAAAGGCUCUUGCUGGUGGGAGAUUGAAUGGAUGUCCCUCAUUUGACCUGUAACAUCAGGUAGCUGCACAGGUGCGAGGGUGUCUUUUGGUUUGAAGAAGAUAUUUCCUGCAUGAAACUGCUCACAAAAAUGUUGGUGGAUGUUUUUUGAUUAACAGCUUCACAAUUUUUGAAAGAGGCAUUGCUGCAGAAUAUUUCAGAUGUAAUUUUUGCUGCUUUGAGCUCUUCAUAGUAAAUGCCAUUCAGUUCUAUUCCAUUAAAUAGAACGGUGACAUUUCCACAUCCAAAAACUUCAAAAAUGAGUGUCUCACAAAAAAAACCCCAUAGAAAACUGUGUAAAUUUGAUAUUAAUGUAAAUUCUUAUUUAAGUUGCUGGAUACAAACUAAACAUUUACAGCUUGAUAGAUGGAUUGGAUGUGUUUAUGCUAGUCUUGUUUCUUGUCAUUUUAUCAUCGCAAUGAUGCAGUCUUGUGUUCUAUAGCAAACUAUAACAUUUCAAAUCAUAAAACAGAUUGAAAAGACUCUUCUAACUGAUUAGAAAAGUCUUUGAUGAUGUUAGAAAGAUCUUCAAAAUAUCUUGUAGCAUUACUCGGCAAACUACUAAAUCUGAAAACACUGAAUUCCUCUCAAAAAGUAAAGACAAAAAGUGAGAAAAAAGAUUCGCCCUCCCAUCAUCUUUUAAGUCUGUAGCUCUCUGUAGCCCCAAAAGAAAGAUGAUUGGCUCAUUUAAAAAAAAAUUAUUGUAAUAAUAAUAAUAAUAAUCUUUGAUCUUGUAAUGAGGUUAGCAGCCUGGUUCUCAGUCCUAAGGUACUUUGAACUAUUUUUCUGUUUCAUACUUGUUUUUGAACAGAGUUGUUUCCUUAAAUGGUUUCCUUUCCUGCACCAGAGGGCCUGCAGCGGGUAUGAGAAGGCUGGCCAGGCUCUGACCACAAAUAUUAGUGAUAGGAACUUAAAAAAUGUAUAAGGAAGUUGGAAAAAUGUGUAGAAUCAAUCUCUUAUUUCAGGGGAAAACCCGGGCUGGCUGACAAUACAAAAUAAGACAGGAGGAGAAAGAGGGAAAAGUCAUUUGGAGGCUGACAGGAAGAACAGAUCACACAUUUCUACACAGCUGCUAAUACCCUAGCGCUGCCUACAUCUAAAGACUGGUGUGUUUACAUGCAGUUGUACUUGUUCACCAGUGUUUGUGAGCUUUUCUUUAACUCUCAAUUCUAUUUAUUUAUUUCACACACCUUGAUUGCCUCUCCCCUCCCUCUCCCUCUUCCUGUCUGAACGAGCUCUUCCUGUUCCCUAGAGAUGGCCGCUGUCCAAUGACAGAGCUCCUUUCAGAACCGGCCCUCGCUGCCGCUGGGUCAGCGGUCUUUGAGUCUCCUUGGAAACGUUCGUUGUUUGUUAUUGUUGCUAUGUCGUACAAGUGUGCCUGCCUGCGCUGAGACGGGCAAAAUGUGAGUGGCUAGUUUGGGCUGUCAAUCAUCCCAGGCCACACUGUCUCAGAUGAUGACGAUGAAUAGAUGAUGGUGAUGAGAUUGUUGCUGUUGGUGAUGAUGAUGAUGGUGAUGAAGAUAGAUGUUUUUGGUAGUGACACCGCAAAGAUCGUUGCAAUACACCUACUAUUUGCCUUUUUGAUUAUAUUAGUCAUAUUUUAACGUAGUGUGCUAAAUGUCAGUUUUUUUUUUAUUGUUGUUGUUGUUGUUGUUGUUGUUGUUGUUGUUGCUGAUGAUGUUUAUUCACUUGAGAACAAAAAGAUUUAACUUCAAUUCAAAAGUUCAUAUCAUUAAAAAAUGUGUUUGUUUGUUUUUUUCAUUUGUAAACAUCGAGAGUGUAAAACUACCUAACACACAAAAACUGCAGAUUUCUGGGGAGGAUGUGUAAAUACAAGAAAAUGUACUUCUGCUUUUAAGUGCCCUUUUUUAAAGUUUAAAGUUGUCAGUGUGCAGCUGUCUGAAGAGCAAAUCGGUGCGAUUGGUGCGGGGAUCGACGCCACAGAUCCCCAUCAACAUCCCUUGAGAUGAGCUUAUGUUAAAGCUAGCUAAAGUUCCCUUUUAUUGGAACCUUUUUGAGCACAUUUGUAUCACGCACUUAUAAGUUCCAAGUAUAAAUCUUCAUGUAAGCACCUAGUCCUCGUAACCCACUAAUCAUUGCGUCUCCUUACUCGACCCAGUGUCUAGAUGUGUGCCUUCUGGUGUCCAGCAUGAUCGGAGACUUACACUUAAAAAAAUCCUUUACUGUUGCCUUUCAACGUAAAACCUCGGACAGCACAAAAUCUUAACACGUUACAGCCGUGACGUAUGGAAGCCCAGUCAGGCCAAGAAAAAAAAAUGGAGGGGAAAAAAAACAGUCAGUGUUUCUAAGCUAAAAUGGACCAAAAGUCCUUAAAAUACUACAAACAAAUAACAUGUGGAAAAGCAGAUAUCUGCAAAUCCUGUGUGGUUGCUUCUAUUGUUUUUAUGUUAUCAUUCCAACUUCUCUUCCCUUUUCUUUUUCCUGGUAAAGCUGGACUUCUAUAAUCACGACAUUAGAAGCUAAAUUUGUGAAAACAAAUUACUGUUGCUAUUGCUGCUCUAUAUGUUUGGAACUAUAACUAAAAACAGCUGAAAUUAAUGCUUUUCUUCAGAAAUUUAAUGAGACGCAGUAUUUGCUUUUAACAUUUCUGACUGCUUGCAAAGAAUCACAUACCACACAGUCCAGAUUCAUAUGUGACAUUAUUUAAGACAUCUCCAAAGACGAAACCACUGUAAAGAAAAAAACGUUCAGUCAAGCUUGAACUUUUUGUUUUCGAUUUUGGGGAAAAAUCUUUUUUUUUCCUCCAGUUUUUGCUACAUGUUUGAUCAGUUUUAAAAGAAAGGAUGAUUUAAGUAACACAAGUAGACUGGCGGACGGCAUACAAGCAAACCAUUUUCUCCCUUCAUAUUUCUGUAUCAUCGCAUUUUUCUCUGCUUGCUCUGCUCUUUUAAUCAGCGCUGUGUGGCGCCUUUCCUCUGACAAUGUCGAAGAAAAAGUAUACAAAAGCACUCUUGUUCGCAGUUAUGUUAUGUGUUCAUAUUUAAAUAAGCCUCUGUAUCUUACACCGCAGUGACUAUUGUAGAAGUCUUCCACCUGUCCUUGAGUUUUAUCCUGCAAGCAUGUAAACUGUGGGGCUUGUACAAUAGACCAGUUUGUUCUGGUAAGGAUUCCUACGUGCAGCUGGUGCAGAUGUUUUAGAAAAGCAUGAUAAAAUGCUGCGAUUGUGUCCAGGGAAGUAAAACUGCACACAAGUAAUCAGCAGCUUUGGAGUGAAAUCUUCACUCAGGACCAGAUGUCAGAUAAAAAUGUGGGAACUCCGAUCUGUUCUCUGCAAUGCUGGGUUUCCCAUCACUCAAACGUAGCACCGGGUUCAUAAAAAGAAUGAACAUGGAGCUGAGGGUUUAACUUCAAUCUGUUAUCUGUCACAGCAUGGCUCAUGCACUUAUAUAGAGGCCUGCUUAUUCUCAGUGAUAAUAACUGCUUAUUUGUGUAUUAAGACAGUUUAUUUUAAUUUAUAUUGGAUGGUCUAUGUGUUGCUGGGUUUGCUAUGUUGUUAUUUUCUUUUCUGUUACAAACACAAGACAAUGGUUUAUUGUUGUUGUCACAGAACAUGAAUCAGACACAUUUCAGUUAGCCUUCGAUUUAAAAAAACAAAUAAAAAGUUUUAUAAAUUCA
Long non-coding RNA from Astatotilapia calliptera (eastern happy), 3914 nucleotides. NCBI's taxonomy places the organism in Eukaryota, Metazoa, Chordata, Actinopteri, Cichliformes, Cichlidae. The record is from Ensembl.